Molecule: long non-coding RNA, 1675 nt
Organism: Manis pentadactyla (Chinese pangolin)
Lineage: Eukaryota; Metazoa; Chordata; Mammalia; Pholidota; Manidae
Exons: 3
Source: RefSeq, a predicted model, not a curated record
CAGGGCCUCCAGGUCCCCAAAGUCCUGCCAGGCCCUCCCAGAGAGGGCACUGCAGUCACAGCAGCAGAUGGAGGCCCCGCCUCCCCACUCCAGAGCCGGUGUCCACUGCCCCGCAGAAGCUGGGCUCUUAGUAGCCAACCAUGGCCCAAAUCAUGACCCUCCAGAGCAGGGGGGGACCACCGUCCUGGAGGAAGCCCGCGGCACUGGUGGAGGGAGCAGACACCAGGGUGAGGGCCCUGCUGCCCCCACCACGGGCCGCCCCGCCCACCGCUGAGCUCCUCCUGUCUGCAUCUCCUCCUCUCCAGGCCCGCGUCAGGCAGGGAGACCCCCAACCAGAGCCCAAGGUCCACGAGGCCGCCCCCUGGCGCCGAGUGCUGGUAGGCAUUCCGACCCUCCCACCUCGUGAGGCCUCGGGAUGCUGUCAAUCGAGGUGCCCGCCCCGCCUCCCCAGGGGCGAGGAUUGACACGUGGCCCACACCCAGCCAGUCAGAGGUGAUGUGCCGCCCUCCUUCCGGAUCGGAAUCCGAGAGGGGCCCCGGCCGCUGAGGAGGAGCACCGCCGUCUUCCCGCCCUGAGCCUCCGGGCAGUGAGGAGCCCAAACCCGAGGGAACCCGGCAGGCCCUCUGGGGGCGCGGCUGCGAGGCCUCCCAGGACACUGGCAAGAAUACGGAAGGGAUCCUGCCUCUCUGGGGAAAAGAACCACCACUUCCCAGACUCCGACGGCCAAACCCAAGCAGAGGAAGAGAGAAAACGAGAGAAGCGCCCAAAGUCAGCGCUGGACGGAGUCUAGGGACAACACCCCGCUCUCUGCCCCUGAGGCAGGGCCUGCCUAGUCUGUCAAUUCAUCCCGAAAUCCCUGGUAGCUAAUCCCGACUCCCAGUUGAAACCUGUUGAAUACAUGAACUCUCCAGGUAAAAGCAAAGGCGGGGCCAAACAGGGAAGUACCGCGCCCAACGCCCCCCCGUGGGCCACCGCCCAGCGGCAACUGCACACUGACUGCGGCCCUCCGGGGGUCUUCGGCUUAGCGAGGGCGCCCCAGGUCGGCGACGCGCGCGCGUGAGCCCAAGGGCAGCCCACGAGGGCGUGUCAGGCCCGCUCCGCCACCCGGCGGAGUCGGCCCCGCAGCAGCUCACUGAACAGCGGAGGAAAGGGGCGGCGUGACUCGGCGCCUGGGGUCCUGCCGACGCCUUUCCUCGUUCUGCGGGGCAGCCGGCUAAGGGGGUCGUCCUGUGGUUCCAGCCCCGCGAGUCCUGGGAGGGAACCCUGCUCGGUGGGCUCGAGCCAGGGAGGAAGGCAGAGCGAGUGUGAGGGAGCUGCGCUCGGGGCCUCGGCAUCCCCUGGCCUCGGGCGAGGAGGGCGCACGGGGCGGCGAGGCAGUCCCCCCCUUCUCCAACCCACUGGGCUGCCCGGCGCCCCACACCUCCCCAGAACGUGCCCCGAAGGGCUGAGCAGACACCUGCCCUCCGGGACAGCCCCCUAGGUGCCCUCCGGGCCUGAUGUCAAUUCACGCCCACGAGACUGGAGCUUUGUUAUCCCCAUUUAACAGCCGAGGAAACCCAGCCGUUGGUGAGCGGGUGAGCUGAUCUAGCAUCCCGGUUGCCUUGCUCCAGCUGCCCAGAUCCUGGCGCCCAGUGUCCCCGGGCUCUGAGCGCGCCCCGGCGGGGGCCGCCCGCCU